This 374-nucleotide long non-coding RNA is filed under the name Sus scrofa (pig). Its description in RNAcentral is "lncRNA (ENSSSCG00005007624.1)". The record is from RNAcentral. Lineage: Eukaryota; Metazoa; Chordata; Mammalia; Artiodactyla; Suidae.
CUUGACUUUCCUGACCAAUCGUAGAAGAGUCUCCUUUGAAAUUGCAGGAGAAUUAACGAAUCAGAGAGCGUGCCAGUCGGGGUCCAAGCCGCCCUUACCAGUUAACUAGGUCGGCCCCCUUUAAGCCUCUGUCUCAGUUAGCGUCGCUCCUGCGGGGACGCGUCCACUGUGGAGGCCAGUUCGUUCUCGCCGGAGAAGGCCCUGGUCUGCCUCUCUGGCCUCUCCGCAGUCUCGGCGGCUACCUAUCGAUUUACCUUGGGGCGCCGCCGCCAAGGAAUCCUAACAGGAAGGCCAGGAAUCUGGACCUGAGCUGUGAGUUUUUGCCCCCUCGAAUGUCUGAAUUUGCCCAUCUACGUUUGUGUGUGCUGGAGUAG